Molecule: ribosomal RNA, 405 nt
Filed under: uncultured Alphaproteobacteria bacterium
Lineage: Bacteria; Pseudomonadati; Pseudomonadota; Alphaproteobacteria
Description: bacterial SSU rRNA
Rfam family: Bacterial small subunit ribosomal RNA
Source: RNAcentral
UUAAUACAUGCAAGUCGAGCGGUCUCUUUCGGGAGACAGCGGCGGACGGGUUAGUAACGCGUGGGAACGUGCCCUUUAGUACGGAAUAGCCAUUGGAAACGAUGAUUAAUACCGUAUACGCCCUAUGGGGGAAAGAUUUAUCGCUAAAGGAUCGGCCCGCGUUAGAUUAGGUUGUUGGUGGGGUAAUGGCCUACCAAGCCUACGAUCUAUAGCUGGUUUGAGAGGAUGAUCAGCAACACUGGGACUGAGACACGGCCCAGACUUCUACGGAAGGCAGCAGUAGGGAAUCUUGGACAAUGGGCGAAAGCCUGAUCCAGCCAUGCCGCGUGAGUGAUGAAGGCCCUAGGGUUGUAAAACUCUUUCGCCAGGGAAGAUAAUGACGGUACCUGGUAAAGAAACCCCGGC